GGCCCUACGGGGCGCAGCAGGCGCGAAAACUUUACAAUGCGGGCAACAGCGAUAAGGGAACCUCGAGUGCCAGGUUACAAAUCUGGCUGUCGUGAUGCCUAAAAAGCAUUAUAUAGCAAGGGCCGGGCAAGACCGGUGCCAGCCGCCGCGGUAACACUGGCGGCUCGAGUGGUAACCGUUAUUAUUGGGUCUAAAGGGUCUGUAGCCGGCCGGAUAAGUCUCUUGGGAAAUCUGGCAGCUCAACUGUCAGGCUUUCAGGGGAUACUGUCUGGCUCGAGGCCGGGAGAGGUGAGAGGUACUUCAGGGGUAGGGGUGAAAUCUUGUAAUCCUUGAAGGACCACCAGUGGCGAAGGCGUCUCACCAGAACGGACCUGACGGCAAGGGACGAAAGCUAGGGGCACGAACCGGAUUAGAUACCCGGGUAGUCCUAGCCGUAAACGAUACUCGCUAGGUGUCGGCCACGGUGCGACCGUUGUCGGUGCCGUAGGGAAGCCGUGAAGCGAGCCACCUGGGAAGUACGGCCGCAAGGCUGAAACUUAAAGGAAUUGGCGGGGGAGCACCACAACGGGUGGAGCUUGCGGUUUAAUUGGAUUCAACGCCGGAAAUCUUA
Molecule: ribosomal RNA, 610 nt
Filed under: uncultured archaeon
Lineage: Archaea
Description: bacterial SSU rRNA
Rfam family: Archaeal small subunit ribosomal RNA
Source: RNAcentral